This 292-nucleotide ribosomal RNA is filed under the name Trichoderma asperellum. RNAcentral describes it as "partial large subunit ribosomal RNA". It matches the Rfam family "Eukaryotic large subunit ribosomal RNA", at positions 359 to 671 of the family's 3401-position model. The record is from RNAcentral. Lineage: Eukaryota; Fungi; Ascomycota; Sordariomycetes; Hypocreales; Hypocreaceae.
GAAAGAUAGAAAGACCUUCUGAAAGAGGGUUAAACAGUACGUGAAAUUGUUGAAAGGGAAGCGCUUGUGACCAGACUUGGGCGCGGCGGAUCAUCCGGGGUUCUCUCCGGUGCACUUCGCCGCGUUCAGGCCAGCAUCAGUUCGUCGCGGGGGAAAAAGGCUUCGGGAACGUGGCUCCUCCGGGAGUGUUAUAGCCCGUUGCAUAAUACCCUGCGGUGGACUGAGGACCGCGCAUCUGCAAGGAUGCUGGCGUAAUGGUCACCAGCGACCCGUCUUGAAACACGGACCAAGA